UAAUAAAAGAAAAAAAGAAAAAAAAUUAUGCUGAGCACAUUCUAGAACGCUCAGAAUUGAGAUUUGAGCUUCAUUUCUCACUGUCGGCCUCUAUCUACAAUAUUCCUGCGACCGUAAAACUACUUCUCUCUAGAAUUUUCCUCAAUCAAAGCCUUUAAUCUAUACUACUUCUUCUUCCAUAGAAGUAUAGAGAUCUGUAACUAAAUGGUUGAUUUAGUCAAGAAUCUGGCAAGUGUUCAUCGAUCUUAGCCUGACAUAGGUAUAGACUUCGACCAACACUGUUUCUUUUUCACGUUUCUAGUUCGACACCGGGUAUUUCCCAGCGAAAUUGAACGGUGGCUCAUAUGGGUAGACUCAGAGAUGGAGUACCUACUCGAGGAAAGAUAUCCUCAAAAAAUAUGGCAAUACUGGAGACGGCUGGAAUUAGACUGUCUGGGUAGAGCCACAAAGAGUGGAUACAUACAAUGAACACCUUCUUUGGGUGUUACAACAUAGUUCCGCACACAACGCAAGCUAAUCGCCUUUGCUGACUGCUGAAGAUGAAGCUGCACACCAACAAUGAAUUGCCCAUACAUGG
Ipomoea nil (Japanese morning glory) is the source of this 577-nucleotide long non-coding RNA. RefSeq lists it as uncharacterized. NCBI's taxonomy places the organism in Eukaryota, Viridiplantae, Streptophyta, Magnoliopsida, Solanales, Convolvulaceae. The record is from RefSeq and is a predicted model, not a curated record. The transcript is spliced from 3 exons.